CGAUCACAAGGUGAGGUCCCACAAUAGGUCAUCCGCAAGCUGAGGACCAAGGAAGACAGCCUGAGUCCCAAAACCCCAAAAGUAGGGAAGCUGACAGUGCAGCCUUCAGUCUGUGGUUGAAGGUCCAAGAGUCCCUUGGACCAAGUUGAAGAACUUGGAGUCAAAUGUUCAAGGGCAGGAAGCAUCCAGCACGGGAUAAAAACGGAGGCCGGAAGGCUAAGCCAGUCUAGUCCUUCCACGCUCCUCUGCCUGCUUGUAUCCUCGCAGCACUGGCAGCUGAUUAGAUGGUGCCCACCCUGACUGAUGAGGGUGGGUCUGCGUUUCCCAGUCCGCUGACUCAAAUGUUAAUCUUUUUUGACAACACCCUCACAAACACACCCAGGAACAAUACUUUGCAUCCUUCAGUCCAAUCAAGUUGAUACAAUAUUAACCAUCACAGAUUAAAAGGAAGAAAUUGAAGCCUUUUCAUUCCAAUAAUAGACUUUUGGUGCUAGACUGUGUGAUAAGAAAGCAGAUAACAGAGAUGACAGCUGAGAACAAGUUAAACUCCAAGAGCACCUAAAUGAAUCACAUCUACAGGUCAAGAACAGAGCUGUUGGAUUUUCUGCAUAUCCUGAAUCAGACGCCUCCCAUUCAUCUCUGGUCCAUAACCAGGCUCUUCUGCCUUCACUGCCUUUGCCGUCUAACUCUGGAGCACAAAUGAGAUGAUUCCACCAAGCUUCUCAAAAUCUUAUGUGGAAUCAAAUGAAAAGUAUCAAAGUCUCCAGCUGGAUCCUUAGCAUCUAUGGUAUCUCAUUUUCUCCACGGAAACAAGGAAGGGCUCCCCAUUCAUGGAGAAAUACCAGUUUCAUUUUAAGCAUGACUACUGAUGUCCAUGGCAAGUCUGCUGACUGAAAAGAAAGUGUUUAUUGAUUCAACCUUUCCAUAACCCUUUACUAAAGUAAACAUGUCUGAGACAACUAAGCAAAACAUCAAAUUUCACUCAACUACCAUGUGGCCUUCUUUACUUAAAAAACUUGGCAUGGGCCACUACUCCAGCCAGGGUCCCAGGAGCACAGAGGACCUGCCUUUUAAAUGGUACAAUAAUAUCCACCACCACCGAUUUUCACUCCCAUCACUAUGGGCACCCAUCUCUACUGCCUUCCCAAUAUCUUUGGUUAAUUACUGGUGCCUAAAAUGUUAGUAAUGUCCUCAUUAUAAUACAGGUUAAUAUGGGGCAUUUUCAUCUCAUUUUAAGUUGAUAUAAACAUCUUUUCUUGGAAGAUGAGAGAACAAGUCUGCACAGUUUCAACACUUUUGAAAAAUCUUACCUUGUUGAUAAUUGUGCAGUCUUGCAUUUAUUAUUACUUCCAGAUUUGAUCCAAAAUAAGAAUCUUAGGGUGGCAAUGCCAUAAUCCCUAACUGCGCAUCAUCUUCUUCUAUACUGAAACCUGGAUUUUACCCAACAUGGAGAAAUUAAUAAAAUACCCUCACAUUCUGUGAUAUAACUUUCAUAAUAUAUCCAUCAUCACCGGAGGGAGAAAAUGGUUAAAGACAUGUGUAUACAAGAGAUACAAUUCUGCAUAUAUUUAUAUUUAUACUUAUUUAUUCAUUCAACAAAUAUUUAUUGGCCAUCUACUAUGUACGAAGCACCAUACUAGGCACUAAAAACAAUGAUACAGAAUACACAUUUUCUUUGGGAACUUUUCCAAGGGAUAUGAAAAAGUAUGGAUAACAUACCCAGGCUAGUGAAAUAUAAGAAAUGUUUUAGUCAAUUUUAUUGUUUUGCCUAGUACCCCAUUCAGGAAGUUUUCUCCCAAAGGUCCAGCUCAUUGGAAAGUAAAUAAUGGUAUCUUGCCCCCUCAUCAACCCAUCAGUGUCAAGUUGAGUAAUAAAUAUUGACCAUUCAACCCAAGAUGGUCUAAGUUAAAUAUCAAACUGCCAAAAAUGGUAGUUAAGAAUAUAUAUUCUGAAAUAUGUCUGCCUAGGUUAGAAUUCAGGUUCUUCCUCUCGUUAUGUGCAUUAUGUGACUUAAUUAUUGAAUAAUUAAGUUAUUCAAUUUCUCUAUGCCUCAAUGUUGUCAUCUGUGAAUUUACGUGAUAAUAGAACUAGUGGUUUAUUGUUGGGAUUAAUGAGAGAAUACAUUUUAAGUUUAGAAAAAGGGAAUGGGCCAUACUAAAAAAAAAAAAACAUUAAUUAUUGCUAUUACAGUUGAGUCCUGUUGGCACAAGAACUGGGAAGAUAUAAAGGAGCUAAAGUGAUAUUCUUUCUCCUCCAUCUACGAGAAUAGAGAAAAGUGAUGGAGGGGGUAAUCAGAAAAAGAGAGAGAGAGACAGACAGACAGAAACAUACACACAGACACACACACACACACACACACACACACACACACACACACACACACAGAGUUAGAGAGAGUCAGUAAUCACAGAGAUAGAGAUGAAGAGAAGAGUUUCUAUCAGUAUGUCAAUUAGAGUCCAAGAAGGAAACAGAUGCCACACUCACAUACAGCUAAUUUAAGGAGGGCUUAGUUAGCAGGAUAAGUGGAAGGAGUAGUAGCUGUAAUGAGAAAUGCAAGAUUCUAAUAAUUCAUCAUAUGAAACUGCAUAGGGAUCAGGAAAAUAGGUCUGUGGUUAAGGGAAGUAAUCAACUGACAGGAACCUACAGAAGGGUGCCAAAUAUUGCACUCUCACUCUCCUCGUUAUCACUAAUCUGCCAAGCCUCUCCUUUGGCUGAAUCUAACGAGAACCCAGAAGGCACGAAAGCCAUGUGACGGCAUUCAUAUAGAUUAUGCUCUAGGGGCAGACAGCUGCGAGAAGAGGAGGAAAGAGUAGACCUGGAGGACCAAAGGAAGAUAUCCUGCACGGAGCCCCAACUGGGCAUAGGGAAGGAGCAUCUACCAUUUGGAAGGCUUCUUCCAGUUCUGGUGCUUCCUGUCUUGGGUUAUACGAAAUACCCUUGCAUGUUUCCACAUUUCCUCUUUAGCCUAAGAUAUAAUGAGUGCUUUCUCUUAUUUGUAACAAAGCUAAUUUUGAUUUAAGCAGAAAAGUUCUGGCAACUUCAAAAUAUGAGUAGUAAGUCUCUGGCUGUAAAGUCAGAGGAGGAGGAGGGGCAUCCACACUGUCUUAUUCAGCCAUGGUUCUUUCUGAUGAAGCAAUGCCAGGAGCACACAUACAGCAAUUUUUUUUUUAUUCAACACAAUGGUUAGGCUGUGGUCUCUGUUUAGUUAUAUAAUGUAUUUGGAGAGAAACAUUUCAUGCAUUUUGGAUCAUGUGUUUAUUAUUUUGGAAUAAAGAAACAUCCAAUGCCAUUUGUUCCACUUUAAUCCCUGAACCCCACCAUUGUGGUAAAGACUGCCCCUACUUUUGAAAUCUAGGAUUAAAAUUUGCUGUUGCUAAUUUCUGGGGGAAUAUUUGGACUUCCCA
This 3404-nucleotide long non-coding RNA is filed under the name Homo sapiens (human). RNAcentral describes it as "HSALNT0244671". Lineage: Eukaryota; Metazoa; Chordata; Mammalia; Primates; Hominidae. The record is from RNAcentral.